UCUGUCGCAGGGGAGAUGGCUG
RNAcentral lists this microRNA (22 nucleotides) under Gossypium raimondii (Peruvian cotton). RNAcentral describes it as "gra-miR3267". The record is from miRBase by way of RNAcentral. Lineage: Eukaryota; Viridiplantae; Streptophyta; Magnoliopsida; Malvales; Malvaceae.